Molecule: ribosomal RNA, 253 nt
Filed under: uncultured bacterium
Lineage: Bacteria
Description: partial 16S ribosomal RNA
Rfam family: Bacterial small subunit ribosomal RNA
Source: RNAcentral
UACGUAGGGGGCAAGCGUUAUCCGGAUUUACUGGGUGUAAAGGGUGCGUAGACGGCAGAGCAAGUCUGAAGUGAAAGCCCGCGGCCCAACUGCGGGACUGCUUUGGAAACUGCCCGGCUAGAGUGCUGGAGAGGUAAGCGGAAUUCCUAGUGUAGCGGUGAAAUGCGUAGAUAUUAGGAGGAACACCAGUGGCGAAGGCGGCUUACUGGACAGUAACUGACGUUGAGGCUCGAAAGCGUGGGGAGCAAACAGG